CAGCAGCCGCGGUAAUACGAAGGGUGCAAGCGUUAAUCGGAAUUACUGGGCGUAAAGCGUGCGUAGGCGGUUUGUUAAGUCUGCUGUGAAAUCCCCGGGCUCAACCUGGGAAUGGCAGUGGAUACUGGCUCGCUAGAGUGUGUCAGAGGAUGGUGGAAUUCCCGGUGUAGCGGUGAAAUGCGUAGAGAUCGGGAGGAACAUCAGUGGCGAAGGCGGCCAUCUGGGACAACACUGACGCUGAGGCACGAAAGCGUGGGGAGCAAACAGGAUUAGAUACCCCCGUAGUCCCUGUCUCUUAUAU
RNAcentral lists this ribosomal RNA (301 nucleotides) under uncultured bacterium. RNAcentral's name for it is "partial 16S ribosomal RNA". It matches the Rfam family "Bacterial small subunit ribosomal RNA", at positions 509 to 809 of the family's 1533-position model. The record is from RNAcentral.